This 397-nucleotide ribosomal RNA is filed under the name uncultured bacterium. Its description in RNAcentral is "bacterial SSU rRNA". It matches the Rfam family "Bacterial small subunit ribosomal RNA", at positions 362 to 776 of the family's 1533-position model. The record is from RNAcentral.
UAUUGCACAAUGGGGGGAACCCUGAUGCAGCGACGCCGCGUGGGUGAAGAAGCGCCUCGGCGCGUAAAGCCCUGUCAGCAGGGAAGAAAAUGACGGUACCUGAAGAAGAAGCCCCGGCUACCGACGUGCCAGCAGCCGCGGUAAUACGUAGCGGGCAAGCGUUAUCCGGAUUUCGUGGGUGGAAAGGGGGCGCAGACGGCGAUGCAAGCCAGGAGUGAAAGCCCGGGGCCCAACCCCGGGACUGCUCUUGGAACUGCGUGGCUGGAGUGCAGGAGGGGCAGGCGGAAUUCCUGGUGUAGCGGUGAAAUGCGUAGAUAUCAGGAGGAACACCGGUGGCGAAGGCGGCCUGCUGGACUGCAACUGACGUUGAGGCCCGAAAGCGUGGGGAGCAAACAGG